ACUCCUACGGGAGGCAGCAGUGGGGAAUAUUGCACAAUGGGGGAAACCCUGAUGCAGCCAUGCCGCGUGUGUGAAGAAGGCCAGCUUCGGGGUUGUAAAAGCACUUUCAGUAGGGAGGAAGGUAGUGUAGUUAACACCUGCACUAUUUGACGUUACCUACAGAAGAAGCACCGGCUAACUCCGUGCCAGCAGCCGCGGUAAUACGGAGGGUGCGAGCGUUAAUCGGAAUUACUGGGCGUAAAGCGCAUGCAGGCGGCCUGUUAAGUCAGAUGUGAAAGCCCGGGGCUUAACCUCGGAAUUGCAUUUGAAACUGGCAGGCUAGAGUCUUGUAGAGGGGGGUAGAAUUUCAGGUGUAGCGGUGAAAAUGCGUAGAGAUCUGAAGGAAUACCAGUGGCGAAGGCGGCCCCCUGGACAAAGACUGACGCUCAGAUGCGAAAGCGUGGGGAGCAAACAGGAUUAGAUACCCUGGUAGGAAAG
RNAcentral lists this ribosomal RNA (477 nucleotides) under uncultured bacterium. Its description in RNAcentral is "bacterial SSU rRNA". It matches the Rfam family "Bacterial small subunit ribosomal RNA", at positions 335 to 798 of the family's 1533-position model. The record is from RNAcentral.